AAGCUCGUAGUUGAAUUUCGGGGUUAGUAGGUUGGUCAUGCCUCCGGUAUGUACUGGUCUCACUGAUUCCUCCUUCCUGAUGAACCGUAAUGCCAUUAAUUUGGUGUUGCGGGGAAUUUGGACUGUUACUUUGAAAAAAUUAGAAUGUUUAAAGCAAGCUAACGCUUGAAUACAUUAGCAUGGAAUAAUGAAAUAGGACGUUCGAUCCUAUUUUGUUGGUUUCUAGGAUUGACGUAAUGAUUAAUAGGGAUAGUUGGG
RNAcentral lists this ribosomal RNA (258 nucleotides) under uncultured Glomus. RNAcentral's name for it is "partial 18S ribosomal RNA". It matches the Rfam family "Eukaryotic small subunit ribosomal RNA", at positions 624 to 886 of the family's 1831-position model. Lineage: Eukaryota; Fungi; Glomeromycota; Glomeromycetes; Glomerales; Glomeraceae. The record is from RNAcentral.